AGAUUGAACGCUGGCGGCAGGCCUAACACAUGCAAGUCGAGCGGAAACGAGUUAUCUGAACCUUCGGGGGACGAUAACGGCGUCGAGCGGCGGACGGGUGAGUAAUGCCUAGGAAAUUGCCCUGAUGUGGGGGAUAACCAUUGGAAACGAUGGCUAAUACCGCAUAAUGCCUACGGGCCAAAGAGGGGGACCUUCGGGCCUCUCGCGUCAGGAUAUGCCUAGGUGGGAUUAGCUAGUUGGUGAGGUAAUGGCUCACCAAGGCGACGAUCCCUAGCUGGUCUGAGAGGAUGAUCAGCCACACUGGAACUGAGACACGGUCCAGACUCCUACGGGAGGCAGCAGUGGGGAAUAUUGCACAAUGGGCGCAAGCCUGAUGCAGCCAUGCCGCGUGUGUGAAGAAGGCCUUCGGGUUGUAAAGCACUUUCAGUCGUGAGGAAGGUGGUGUAGUUAAUAGCUGCAUUAUUUGACGUUAGCGACAGAAGAAGCACCGGCUAACUCCGUGCCAGCAGCCGCGGUAAUACGGAGGGUGCGAGCGUUAAUCGGAAUUACUGGGCGUAAAGCGCAUGCAGGUGGUUUGUUAAGUCAGAUGUGAAAGCCCGGGGCUCAACCUCGGAAUAGCAUUUGAAACUGGCAGACUAGAGUACUGUAGAGGGGGGUAGAAUUUCAGGUGUAGCGGUGAAAUGCGUAGAGAUCUGAAGGAAUACCGGUGGCGAAGGCGGCCCCCUGGACAGAUACUGACACUCAGAUGCGAAAGCGUGGGGAGCAAACAGGAUUAGAUACCCUGGUAGUCCACGCCGUAAACGAUGUCUACUUGGAGGUUGUGGCCUUGAGCCGUGGCUUUCGGAGCUAACGCGUUAAGUAGACCGCCUGGGGAGUACGGUCGCAAGAUUAAAACUCAAAUGAAUUGACGGGGGCCCGCACAAGCGGUGGAGCAUGUGGUUUAAUUCGAUGCAACGCGAAGAACCUUACCUACUCUUGACAUCCAGAGAACUUUCCAGAGAUGGAUUGGUGCCUUCGGGAACUCUGAGACAGGUGCUGCAUGGCUGUCGUCAGCUCGUGUUGUGAAAUGUUGGGUUAAGUCCCGCAACGAGCGCAACCCUUAUCCUUGUUUGCCAGCGAGUAAUGUCGGGAACUCCAGGGAGACUGCCGGUGAUAAACCGGAGGAAGGUGGGGACGACGUCAAGUCAUCAUGGCCCUUACGAGUAGGGCUACACACGUGCUACAAUGGCGCAUACAGAGGGCAGCAAGCUAGCGAUAGUGAGCGAAUCCCAAAAAGUGCGUCGUAGUCCGGAUUGGAGUCUGCAACUCGACUCCAUGAAGUCGGAAUCGCUAGUAAUCGUGGAUCAGAAUGCCACGGUGAAUACGUUCCCGGGCCUUGUACACACCGCCCGUCACACCAUGGGAGUGGGCUGCAAAAGAAGUAGGUAGUUUAACCUUCGGGAGGACGCUUACCACUUUGUGGUUCAUGAC
This 1470-nucleotide ribosomal RNA is filed under the name Vibrio owensii. RNAcentral's name for it is "bacterial SSU rRNA". It matches the Rfam family "Bacterial small subunit ribosomal RNA". Lineage: Bacteria; Pseudomonadati; Pseudomonadota; Gammaproteobacteria; Vibrionales; Vibrionaceae. The record is from RNAcentral.